Molecule: ribosomal RNA, 239 nt
Filed under: uncultured bacterium
Lineage: Bacteria
Description: partial small subunit ribosomal RNA
Rfam family: Bacterial small subunit ribosomal RNA
Source: RNAcentral
AGAGCGAACGCUGGCGGCAUGCUUAACACAUGCAAGUCGCACGGUUGGGGCAACCCAACAGUGGCGCACGGGUGAGUAACACGUGACUAACCUACCUUCGAGUGGGGAAUAACCUGGGGAAACCCGGGCUAAUACCGCAUAAUACCUUCGGGUCAAAGGAGCAAUUCGCUUAAGGAGGGGGUCGCGGCCGAUUAGUUAGUUGGCGGGGUAAUGGCCCACCAAGACUGUGAUCGGUAUCC